This 487-nucleotide ribosomal RNA is filed under the name uncultured bacterium. RNAcentral's name for it is "partial 16S ribosomal RNA". It matches the Rfam family "Bacterial small subunit ribosomal RNA", at positions 28 to 507 of the family's 1533-position model. The record is from RNAcentral.
GAUGAACGCUAGCGAUAUGCUUAACACAUGCAAGUCGAGGGGCAGCACAAGGUUUCUUUCUAUCUGGCUGGCGACCGGCGCACGGGUGCGUAACGCGUAUGCAACUUUCCCUAUACAGGUGGAUAACCCGUCGAAAGACGGACUAAUACUACGUAUUCUCACAACUUGGCAUCAAGUGGUGAGUUACGACAUUCGGUAUAGGAUUGGCAUGCGUCCCAUUAGCUUGUUGGUGAGUUAACGGCUCACCAAGUCAACGAUGGGUAGGGGAACUGAGAGGUGUAUCCCUCAGAGGGGGACUGAGAAAAGGACCAGACAGAUACGGGAGGGAGUAGUAAGGAAGAGAGGAGAAGGGGAGAGAGCCUGAACCAGGCAAGUCGCGUGAAGGAUGACUGUGUUAGGGAUGAUAAACUUCUGGUAUAAGGGAAUAACAAGAGGCAAGUGUGACUGAGUGAAGGUAACGUAUAAAUAAGCAUCGGCUAACUACGUG